AACUGCCAGCAGCGGGUGCCAGACCUUCAAAGGGAUGGCGCUCAGGAAAGUCCGCCCACCGUUCCCGCAGGGGUUCAUGGCCGCUCAUGGGAGUGAGACUUCGAAAGGGGUGGCGACGGCUCAGAAACGGUACCACUGUCCAUCGUUGAUGCCUUUGGCGUCAGAACCGCAUGUCUAUGACAGGUGGUUCGUUACGGAUGAGGAAGGGAAGGCGAUGGUGACAUCUGCCGAGUAAACUUCCGACGAGAUGGACAGAGAGGAUGAAACGGCGAGUCCCGGCCGGUGCAAGUCCUUUGUGACGCUAAGUUGAAUGCUGGUGCAGACCAUCGUCAUGUCUCGUGCGUGGUUUGGGUCUGACAGAAGGCGGCUUAUCGUU
RNAcentral lists this RNase P RNA (376 nucleotides) under Nanobdellati archaeon. Its description in RNAcentral is "DPANN group archaeon (hydrothermal vent metagenome) RNase P RNA component". It matches the Rfam family "Archaeal RNase P". From Rfam's summary of the family: Ribonuclease P (RNase P) is a ubiquitous endoribonuclease, found in archaea, bacteria and eukarya as well as chloroplasts and mitochondria. Its best characterised activity is the generation of mature 5'-ends of tRNAs by cleaving the 5'-leader elements of precursor-tRNAs. Lineage: Archaea; Nanobdellati. The record is from RNAcentral.